AUCUUCAACCUCCAUGUCUUUUUCUAAUCUUUGCUGUAUUGUUUGAACAAAAUCCUCUUAUUCACAUGUCCCUUGAAUAGUUGGUUUCCAAAUAAAUAGCUUCUAUCAACAACAAAACAGUCGGCCAAGUUGUCACCGAAAAUUUGUAUGUUAGAACCGUUUAAGUAAGAGCAACUGAGCAACCCAGUCAGAGGAAUAAAAAUCCG
This 206-nucleotide unclassified non-coding RNA is filed under the name Hevea brasiliensis (rubber tree). The record is from RNAcentral. Lineage: Eukaryota; Viridiplantae; Streptophyta; Magnoliopsida; Malpighiales; Euphorbiaceae.